GCCGGGCGCGGUAGCUCACGCCUGUAAUCCCAGCACUUUGGAGGCCGAGGCAGGUGGAUCACCUGAGGUCAGGAGUUCGAGACCAGCCUGACCAACAUGGUGAAAUCUUGUCUCUA
This 116-nucleotide non-coding RNA is filed under the name Gorilla gorilla gorilla (western lowland gorilla). Lineage: Eukaryota; Metazoa; Chordata; Mammalia; Primates; Hominidae. The record is from Rfam by way of RNAcentral.